Molecule: ribosomal RNA, 466 nt
Filed under: Vreelandella stevensii
Lineage: Bacteria; Pseudomonadati; Pseudomonadota; Gammaproteobacteria; Oceanospirillales; Halomonadaceae
Description: partial 16S ribosomal RNA
Rfam family: Bacterial small subunit ribosomal RNA
Source: RNAcentral
CCUACGGGUGAGCAGCAGUGGGGAAUAUUGGACAAUGGGCGAAAGCCUGAUCCAGCCAUGCCGCGUGUGUGAAGAAGGCCUUCGGGUUGUAAAGCACUUUCAGUGGGGAAGAAAGCCUUGGGGCUAAUACCCUCGAGGAAGGACAUCACCCACAGAAGAAGCACCGGCUAACUCCGUGCCAGCAGCCGCGGUAAUACGGAGGGUGCGAGCGUUAAUCGGAAUUACUGGGCGUAAAGCGCGCGUAGGCGGUCUGAUAAGCCGGUUGUGAAAGCCCCGGGCUCAACCUGGGAACGGCAUCCGGAACUGUCAGGCUAGAGUGCAGGAGAGGAAGGUAGAAUUCCCGGUGUAGCGGUGAAAUGCGUAGAGAUCGGGAGGAAUACCAGUGGCGAAGGCGGCCUUCUGGACUGACACUGACGCUGAGGUGCGAAAGCGUGGGUAGCAAACAGGAUUAGAUACCCCUGUAGUC